GGGAACAAAAAGAUUAAGAAGGUUCCAACAUUGACUCUCCAAAUUAGCUGGCCGCUUGUAAAGAAUCGGUUUUCUUAACAAGCCUGCUUUCAGGUUUGAGUGGGAGAGCAAAUUCCUGGAAGUCCCAUAAAAAGGUAUGGAUUUAAUCAAUUGUGGAAUAGAUAUUCCCCAGACAAGAAGUCUCAUGGAGAGAAAUUCAAAGCAAUGAUAUAAUUCCAUUGGGCACCAAUGGAAAAAAAAAAUACUAGUAACCUUACUGUUCUUUUUGGGCCUGUUUGAUUCUCCAAGGAUAUCACCCUGUUCAAUGAGGAAAUUCAUGACUAUUGCCAAGGGAGCCGAGGCUGAGUACCAAAUGGCACAGUUGCAAUGAAUCCAGCACAGAAGCCCCACAUGGGAAAAAGGUAAAGAAGUCAAGGAUUACCAAUGCACGAAUCAACAGCAGAAACAGGCUUACAUGAGCCAACUGGGUCACAUUAGGUGUUGCUCAAGCUUAAAGCCAUGUCAUUAUCUAAGAAAAAGAAACAAGUGCAUUAUAAAUGAGCUAUUUCAAUACA
Long non-coding RNA from Herpailurus yagouaroundi (jaguarundi), 554 nucleotides. RefSeq lists it as uncharacterized. The transcript has 2 exons. The record is from RefSeq and is a predicted model, not a curated record. Lineage: Eukaryota; Metazoa; Chordata; Mammalia; Carnivora; Felidae.